This 69-nucleotide transfer RNA is filed under the name Neotoma lepida (desert woodrat). It matches the Rfam family "tRNA". Rfam says of the family: Transfer RNA (tRNA) molecules are approximately 80 nucleotides in length. Their secondary structure includes four short double-helical elements and three loops (D, anti-codon, and T loops). RNAcentral also lists the same sequence under 1 other name. Lineage: Eukaryota; Metazoa; Chordata; Mammalia; Rodentia; Cricetidae. The record is from Rfam by way of RNAcentral.
AGGUGGCUCAGUGGUUAAGAGCACUGGAUGCUGUUCCAGAGGACCUGAGUUCAAUUCCCAGAACCCCUA